This 253-nucleotide ribosomal RNA is filed under the name uncultured bacterium. RNAcentral's name for it is "partial 16S ribosomal RNA". It matches the Rfam family "Bacterial small subunit ribosomal RNA", at positions 524 to 776 of the family's 1533-position model. The record is from RNAcentral.
UACGUAGGUGACAAGCGUUGUCCGGAUUUACUGGGCGUAAAGAGCGCGCAGGCGGUCGUUCAAGUCGAGUGUGAAAGCCCCCGGCUCAACUGGGGAGGGUCAUUCGAUACUGAUCGACUCGAAGGCAGGAGAGGGAAGUGGAAUUCCCGGUGUAGUGGUGAAAUGCGUAGAUAUCGGGAGGAACACCAGUGGCGAAAGCGGCUCUCUGGAACGGUACUGACGCUGAGACGCGAAAGCGUGGGGAGCGAACAGG